This 1035-nucleotide ribosomal RNA is filed under the name uncultured Staphylococcus sp. RNAcentral's name for it is "bacterial SSU rRNA". It matches the Rfam family "Bacterial small subunit ribosomal RNA", at positions 366 to 1392 of the family's 1533-position model. Lineage: Bacteria; Bacillati; Bacillota; Bacilli; Caryophanales; Staphylococcaceae. The record is from RNAcentral.
CCGCAAUGGGCGAAAGCUUGACGGAGCAACGCCGCGUGAGUGAUGAAGGUCUCCGGAUCGUAAAACUCUGUUAUUAGGGAAGAACAAAUGUGUAAGUAACUAUGCACGUCUUGACGGUACCUAAUCAGAAAGCCACGGCUAACUACGUGCCAGCAGCCGCGGUAAUACGUAGGUGGCAAGCGUUAUCCGGAAUUAUUGGGCGUAAAGCGCGCGUAGGCGGUUUUUUAAGUCUGAUGUGGAAGCCCACGGCUCAACCGUGGAGGGUCAUUGGAAACUGGAAAACUUGAGUGCAGAAGAGGAAAGUGGAAUUCCAUGUGUAGCGGUGAAAUGCGCAGAGAUAUGGAGGAACACCAGUGGCGAAGGCGACUUUCUGGUCUGUAACUGACGCUGAUGUGCGAAAGCGUGGGGAUCAAACAGGAUUAGAUACCCUGGUAGUCCACGCCGUAAACGAUGAGUGCUAAGUGUUAGGGGGUUUCCGCCCCUUAGUGCUGCAGCUAACGCAUUAAGCACUCCGCCUGGGGAGUACGACCGCAAGGUUGAAACUCAAAGGAAUUGACGGGGACCCGCACAAGCGGUGGAGCAUGUGAUUUAAUUCGAAGCAACGCGAAGAACCUUACCAAAUCUUGACAUCCUCUGAUCCCUCUAGAGAUAGAGGUUUCCCCUUCGGGGGACAGAGUGACAGGUGGUGCAUGGUUGUCGUCAGCUCGUGUCGUGAGAUGUUGGGUUAAGUCCCGCAACGAGCGCAACCCUUAAGCUUAGUUGCCAUCAUUAAGUUGGGCACUCUAAGUUGACUGCCGGUGACAAACCGGAGGAAGGUGGGGAUGACGUCAAAUCAUCAUGCCCCUUAUGAUUUGGGCUACACACGUGCUACAAUGGACAAUACAAAGGGCAGCGAAACCGCGAGGUCAAGCAAAUCCCAUAAAGUUGUUCUCAGUUCGGAUUGUAGUCUGCAACUCGACUAUAUGAAGCUGGAAUCGCUAGUAAUCGUAGAUCAGCAUGCUACGGUGAAUACGUUCCCGGGCCUUGUACACACCG